GGCCUGAUCUUGCGUCAUGGUGCGCCUGCACAGCUCUCACAAUGGACGUGGCUAGUUUCAGGUGUGUGAGGAAGUCAGGUGCUAGUCAUGAGACUUAGCUGCAGUCCCGGGUGCCAUCUUGGGACUGCUGCCAUACCCGCUCCCCACAUAAAGCUGUAGUUUUCUUUUUUUCUUUCUCGAGAGUGUAAUGCACUUAUAACAUUUUUCUCUUCUUUUUCCUUCUCUACCUUUUAACAAGAGCCUUAAAAAAAUAUUGGGUGUGGCGUGUUAAGCUCUGCGAAUAAGUACAUCUAGCUUAUGUGUACAAUUAGUGCAUCAUCGAAGUGUUUAAAAACUCCCUGGAAAAUAAAAAAGAAACUACUAUAGCAGUCACUAACAUCUUCUUCUGUUGCUUCUCUGUCAUCGUUUUCAAAAAUCACCUUACAUCUUCCCAUAACUGUGAGCAUUUCAUGAGGUGCUGCAAGAUUUCCUGAGCAUCUAUGUUGCCAAGUGCCUUAUUUGUGAAAAGCAAUUUAUGAUUUAUUUUGCCCAAUUAUAUUGCAUUCCUUUCUCAGAGCAGUUUUUACUCCUCUCUGGCGCUUAUGAUGAUGUGUAUUGGUGGCAAGUCUUAUUGCGCUGUCGGAGAAAUGGAAACAGAGAACUGUCUUGUGUCAGAACGGCAGUCAGGGUUAGAGAAUGUGUGUCAGAUGAGUUAUCUUUCUCUGCCACAAAAUGUGGGUCUCAAUUCUUCAUGGAGACCUUAGGCAACUGUUAAUCUUCAGUAGCAGGAAAAUCCAAACCUAAUCUUUUUAUAUUACCUCAUUAUUUCUGUUCAUAAAUGAAAAUUUAAUUUCUGUUAUGGUUCUUAGUGCAGUCAACUGUUAUAUUAUUAAUUAUCCAAGUGCUGCUAAUGCCUAGGAAUGAUAUUUUAAUAAGGUUUAAUCUCUUUUCCACAUUCUAGUGUCUUCCAUAAUUAUGUAUGUCUCUGUUUUUCUCCUUUUUUAUUUGCAAACAUACCCAGCAGAGAAAACUGUAAUUCCAAGUUGGCUUCAUUUCUGAGACAGACUCAUCACUCAUAAUCCAGGCUCUGUGCAGUUUUUCAAAGGAAAAAGAAAAGAAAUCAAAGAAAAGCAACUUUAUUUCAAAUACUAACUGUAGUCUUGAACUGCAUCUUGGACUUGCUUUAAGAUGUAGUGUCUACACAGUAGCCAGAGGGUCUUUUAUGCAUUUGAUGAUCACUCUGGAAGUCUCUUUGGAAGGAAAUUGUUUUGUGUAUGACAAGAAACAUAAUUUUUGUUUUAAGUUAUGCUCUAAGGAAGUAGAAGAUUCUAUAUGAAGUUUAUAUGGACAAAAUUGAGCUAUUCCAUUAUAUACACGUCAGUGUUAUGCUCUUUUCUAUCAUUAAGCAGAAAACUGAGGUCUAAAUGAUUUUGAUAAUUCUUUCUUUUUCUUUAGGAUGGAGAGUCUAUGAUUUUCAAUUUUGUUUUGCCACCCCAUAGUGUUCAUUCUGGUUCUCUUUGUCUCUCUCUUCUUUCUAGGGUACCUCACUUUGUAGCCCAAGAGUCAGUAUAUAGCUUAGGCUGUACUUGAAUUCUUAGGAAUCCUCCUGCCUAAGUCUUUUGGGUAGUCAUAGUGACUAGCACAUUUUAGCUUCACUUCUAUAUAAGGUACUUGUAUGUUUGUAUUUAUAAUUUAUCGCAGGAGCAAGACUCUUAGCAGUACCCAUGGACUGUCUCUUUAGGACAUUUUUUAUUUCUCUCAUGGCACUAGACACUGGUAAGAACCCAUAGUAGAAAAAAGAGAAGCCUAUGAAUUCCAUGAGGCUGAAGGUGAAAUGGAGAUUAAAACUACUCAGUGUAUAAAUAUCUUAAGAAGAUUCUAUAUACUCUGAUUCUGGUUUCAGUACAAGUAAUGUAUGUGUGACAUGUUCACACUAGUCUUCCAGCUAGCUUUUCUGUUGGUGCAGCAAUGUCUUCUUGUAGCUUAUCUUAUAGGAAAUAGGUAAUCUACCCUCUGAAAUGUUGUUUCUUAAAAGCACUACAGCAUUUGAUAGUAUUGCAUCAGGAAUUCCAUUUAUCUAUCUGUCUGUCUGUCUGUCUAUCUAUCCAUCCGUCUAUCUAUCAUCUAUCUAUUGAUCUAUUUAUGAACAGGGACUCAUUAUGCAUACUGGCUGCCUUGGAACUUAUUUUAUAGACCAGACUUGCCUUAGAGUCACAAAAGCUUUGCUUGCCUCUUUCCCCUGCAUGCUAGGACUAAAGGUUUGUGUCCUCAUAUUUACUAAGAAUCUCUUUCUUAGAUACAUGUACUUUGUGGUGUCUAAUCUUGCUCAUUAAUUUGAUUGAAUCUAAAACCACUAAGACCUUUGGGCAGGUCUGUAUCCAUGUUCCUCAGAAAGAUUAACCAAGAUUUCAAAGAUCUCCUCUAGAGUUGCCAUUACAAUUCUAGGGAAAGAAAAAGGAAUGUGCUUUUCCCUAUUGGCUUUUCUUACUGCUUCUUAGUGCAAAUGCUCUGUUCUUGCUCUGUUGCUGCUGCUGCUACUACUGACCCUGCCAUUCUUUACUGGUGUUUUAACCCAGCUUCCUCAGACUCCAAUGUGAUCUGAAGAUAAGUACUCACAAGAAGAGCUACAAGUCUUCUGUGGCAGAUUCGGACAAUUGAGACAUCCAUAUUUUGGUGGUCUUAACAACUGCUGGGAUCUCACUCUCUUCAGUGUACCAAAAGCCAUUUUUGGAUUACCCAGUGCACAACCUGAAAUCUGAAGCAAGGAAAGCAUCUGGUGCUAUUAUCCUUAAACACAGAGAACUGAUGUUUCCCCCAGCAAUGCACUCUCUUCUUCUGCUUCUCUGUAAAGGCAUUUGAUUUGCUUUUAAUUUUCAAAUUCAUGCUUUCCUGGGAAACUGUAUUGUGACUUGUCUGCUUCAUAAUUUAGGAAAUGACUUUUCCUUGUCUUUUUAAAAGUAUGCCUGAUGAAAAAC
Molecule: long non-coding RNA, 2954 nt
Organism: Rattus norvegicus (Norway rat)
Lineage: Eukaryota; Metazoa; Chordata; Mammalia; Rodentia; Muridae
Source: RefSeq, a predicted model, not a curated record